This 498-nucleotide ribosomal RNA is filed under the name Triticum aestivum (bread wheat). RNAcentral describes it as "partial small subunit ribosomal RNA". The record is from RNAcentral. Lineage: Eukaryota; Viridiplantae; Streptophyta; Magnoliopsida; Poales; Poaceae.
AUGUCGCCGGAGGCGCUCUGCCUCUCCUAUGCACGCCCUGCUUCUAUCUCCACCGCUGCCCUCCCUUACCCCUCUGUAGUUCUUGGCACCACGGUUGUUGCCCCGCACUGGAUAGAUGCGCCGCUGUCGCUCUGUCGCCGCAUACAGAGAGUUCAACGCUGCAACCCCCGUCUGCUCAAUCUCACCGCCUGUGCUUCCGUGGCGAAACAGUGCAACCUGCAGGAGGAAUCGUGGGGGGUCGAGGACGUCCAGCUCGACAAUCCAACUCGGCAUGAUUCACGUCAUCGUUGGCCCCAUGUUCGCUGGCAAGACCACCGCGCUUCUCCGCCGGCACCGACAGCGCCAUGCUCAGUCCAACCGUGUGGCUUCGGGGUGGCCGAGUUCGUCGUGACCAUCAGUUCGGAGACCUGCGUCACUGCACGUGUCGCUACCAUGGCCCCCUGUGUCACUACGUGCUCCGUCAACAACCUCCUGCACAAGGAAAGGCAACAGGAGUAG